GGGGAAUUAGCUCAAAUGGUAGAGCGCUUGCUUAGCAUGCGAGAGAGGUAGUGGGAUCGAUGCCCACAUUCUCCA
RNAcentral lists this transfer RNA (75 nucleotides) under Hippoglossus stenolepis (Pacific halibut). RNAcentral describes it as "tRNA-Ala". It matches the Rfam family "tRNA". Rfam says of the family: Transfer RNA (tRNA) molecules are approximately 80 nucleotides in length. The record is from RNAcentral. Lineage: Eukaryota; Metazoa; Chordata; Actinopteri; Pleuronectiformes; Pleuronectidae.